GGACUACCGGGGUAUCUAAUCCCGUUCGCUCCCCUGGCUUUCGCGUCUCAGCGUCAGGUGGGGUCCAGGAGCGCGCUUUCGCCGCGGGCGUUCCUGCCGAUCUCAACGCAUUUCACCGCUCCACCGGCAGUUCCCGCUCCCCCUACCCCCCUCCAGGCCGGUCGUAUCCGCGCCCCUUCCCCGGUUGAGCCGGGGGAUUUCAGCGUCGGACGUGCCGGCCCGCCUACACGCGCUUUAGGCCCAGUGAUUCCGAAUAACGUUCGCACGGUUCGUCUUACCGCGGCUGCUGGCAC
Molecule: ribosomal RNA, 293 nt
Filed under: uncultured Planctomycetota bacterium
Lineage: Bacteria; Pseudomonadati; Planctomycetota
Description: uncultured planctomycete partial 16S ribosomal RNA
Source: RNAcentral